Molecule: small nuclear RNA, 107 nt
Organism: Cervus hanglu yarkandensis (Yarkand deer)
Lineage: Eukaryota; Metazoa; Chordata; Mammalia; Artiodactyla; Cervidae
Source: Ensembl
GUGCUCUCUUUGGUAGCACACAUACUAAAAUUGGAAUGAUAUAGAGAAGACUAGCAUGGCCCCUGCAUAAGGAUGACUUGCAAAUUUGUGAAGCGUUCUGUAUUUUU